Long non-coding RNA from Octopus sinensis (East Asian common octopus), 1219 nucleotides. RefSeq lists it as uncharacterized. The transcript is spliced from 3 exons. Lineage: Eukaryota; Metazoa; Mollusca; Cephalopoda; Octopoda; Octopodidae. The record is from RefSeq and is a predicted model, not a curated record.
AAUACGUUAGUCUUUGUUAUUUUACUUAGUUGUUUUAUUGUUCAAUGUUUUGCUCUAAUUCUAUUUUUCAAGGUUUUGCUUCCCUACCUUCUCUAAUUAUUCUAUAGAUUCAGCUAUGAUAACAAAGUAGUCAGUAUACGGGAGUUAACCACAGACAGCCAACCUUAAACUGCUCUGCUACGUCCGAAGGACUACGAUACACAGAAGUCGUGCUGACGACCAAAACUUUGAAGGGCUUCUGCCUGAUUGCUUAAUUCAUGGCUGAAUUCAUUGCAGACUCUUAGUUUGUUGACAGACCCUCCAUUCAUGUUUACCCCUCAAAAACCAUUCACCUAAUAUUCUCAGCGAUCCCCAGUUUACAAAGCAAAGGAACCCGUUGAAGCCUUCUAGGUGUAGGAGGUUUACUCUGCUAAGCACUUCUCGUGUAGUUGUCUCAUUAGGAAGUUGACAUUGGUGGUACCUUUCCUGUUUAAGAUCGAACCACUUCUCUUAAAGGCUACGAUGACUUGCGUAUUUGUUUUAAAUUCGUUCCGGCAGUUUAAACGUGAAUAUUACAAUCUUUGUUGAAAUUAGUCGACGGAGAACAACUUCUCCACUCAGAAAUUUGGCAACUAACACAUAGGAAAUAAUUUGUUAGCCGAUGUUAGAAACAGGAACGACAAUAUCUUGUUAGAUUCAUUAGUCCAGGCUAUCUUUGGGUGAGGUAACACAACGAUCUCGAAACACCGGGUAUCCCAAAGUCCUCUUAUGCUAAUGAAUCAAGUAAUUUGUGAUACAAUCGUCUGAACAGAGGAGGUGUUCUCCAUUGAUGACAUCUAACAGCGACAUCCACUUCGACCUGGCGGAAUGAUUAUAGAGAAAUCUAAAGUGACAACAUCAAAGCCAGUGCCAGCCAGAGAAUCUAAGCAAGGCAUUAGGAGUUGGUGCCAGUCUUGACAUAUCAACAACAUCAAUGUAGAAGAUUCUAGUCUGGUACAGGAAAUGAAAAAACCACACAAUGCCUGUAGCUGCAGCUGGCAACCACUGAGACUCAAGACAUUGCAAGGUAUCUUGUGUUUAGGUCUAGGGAAGAUCUGGAAGCAUCUGGUGGGGAUGUGUAAUCUGUAGUUGAGAGAAAGGAAUAUUCUCUGUGGUCAGUCAGUGUUAGGAUGACCAAAUUCAUCCAGCAGGUGCAGGACCUUGUCAUUGAUAACACCAAGGGGUUAAUGAGGGCCAUUGC